GAUGAACGCCUAGCGACAGGCUUAACACAUGCAAGUCGAGGGGCAGCACAGGUAGCAAUACCGGGUGGCGACCGGCGCACGGGUGAGUAACGCGUAUGCAACUUACCUAUCAGAGGGGGAUAACCCGGCGAAAGUCGGACUAAUACCGCAUGAAGCAGGGGCCCCGCAUGGGGAUAUUUGCUAAAGAUUCAUCGCUGAUAGAUAGGCAUGCGUUCCAUUAGGCAGUUGGCGGGGUAACGGCCCACCAAACCGACGAUGGAUAGGGGUUCUGAGAGGAAGGUCCCCCACAUUGGUACUGAGACACGGACCAAACUCCUACGGGAGGCAGCAGUGAGGAAUAUUGGUCAAUGGGCGUAAGCCUGAACCAGCCAAGUCGCGUGAGGGAUGAAGGUUCUAUGGAUCGUAAACCUCUUUUAUAAGGGAAUAAAGUGCGGGACGUGUCCCGUUUUGUAUGUACCUUAUGAAUAAGGAUCGGCUAACUCCGUGCCAGCAGCCGCGGUAAUACGGAGGAUCCGAGCGUUAUCCGGAUUUAUUGGGUUUAAAGGGUGCGUAGGCGGCCUUUUAAGCCAGCGGUGAAAGUCUGUGGCUCAACCAUAGAAUUGCCGUUGAAACUGGGAGGCUUGAGUAUGUUUGAGGCAGGCGGAAUGCGUGGUGUAGCGGUGAAAUGCUUAGAUAUCACGCAGAACCCCGAUUGCGAAGGCAGCCUGCCAAGCCAUGACUGACGCUGAUGCACGAAAGCGUGGGGAUCAAACAGGAUUAGAUACCCUGGUAGUCCACGCAGUAAACGAUGAUCACUAGCUGUUUGCGAUACAUUGUAAGCGGCACAGCGAAAGCGUUAAGUGAUCCACCUGGGGAGUACGCCGGCAACGGUGAAACUCAAAGGAAUUGACGGGGGCCCGCACAAGCGGAGGAACAUGUGGUUUAAUUCGAUGAUACGCGAGGAACCUUACCCGGGUUUGAACGCAUUCGGACCGAGGUGGAAACACCUUUUCUAGCAAUAGCCGUUUGCGAGGUGCUGCAUGGUUGUCGUCAGCUCGUGCCGUGAGGUGUCGGCUUAAGUGCCAUAACGAGCGCAACCCUUGCCACUAGUUACUAACAGGUUAGGCUGAGGACUCUGGUGGGACUGCCAGCGUAAGCUGCGAGGAAGGCGGGGAUGACGUCAAAUCAGCACGGCCCUUACAUCCGGGGCGACACACGUGUUACAAUGGCGUGGACAAAGGGAGGCCACCUGGCGACAGGGAGCGAAUCCCCAAACCACGUCUCAGUUCGGAUCGGAGUCUGCGACCCGACUCCGUGAAGCUGGAUUCGCUAGUAAUCGCGCAUCAGCCAUGGCGCGGUGAAUACGUUUCCCGGGC
RNAcentral lists this ribosomal RNA (1355 nucleotides) under uncultured bacterium. Its description in RNAcentral is "16S ribosomal RNA". It matches the Rfam family "Bacterial small subunit ribosomal RNA", at positions 28 to 1379 of the family's 1533-position model. The record is from RNAcentral.